AGAGUUUGAUCAUGGCUCAGAAUGAACGCUGGCGGCAUGGCUAAGACAUGCAAGUCGAACGGACCAUUUAAUUUAUUAGAUGGUUAGUGGCGAAAGGGUGAGGAAUAGAUAGGUAACGUAUCUUUAGCUUCAGGAUAGCGUCUGAGAGCUUCGGCUCUCUUCCGAAAGGGGCAUUAAUACUGAAUGAUAUCACUUGCUUAACUGCUUGUGAUCAAAGAUUUAUCGGCUUUUGAGCGGCCUAUCUCCUAUCAGCUUGUUGGUGAGGUAACGGCUCACCAAGGCGACGACGGGUAGCGGGACUGAGAGGUUGGCCCGCCACAUCGGGACUGAGACACUGCCCGGACCUCCACGGAGGGCUGCAGUAACGAAUAUUGGGCAAUGGGCGAAAGCCUGACCCAGCAAUGCCGCGUGCAGGAUGAAGCCCCUCGGGGUGUAAACUGCUUUCAGGGAUCAGAAAGCUACGGUUGAUCAAUCCCAGAAGAAGUCACGGCUAACUUCGUGCCAGCAGCCGCGGUAAUACGAAGGUGGCGAGCGUUAUUCGAAAUCACUGGGCUUAAAGGGCGCGUAGGCGGACAUGACAGUGCUUUGUGAAAUCCCCCGGCUUAACCGGGGAAUGGCUGGGCAUACUACAUGUCUUGAGGCAAGUAGGGGUGUGUGGAACUCUUGGUGGAGCGGUGGAAUGCGUAGAUAUCAAGAGGAACGCCGAAGGUGAAGACAGCACACUGGACUUGCCCUGACGCUGAGGGCGAAAGCGUGGGGAGCAAACAGGAUUAGAUACCCUAGUAGUCC
Molecule: ribosomal RNA, 789 nt
Filed under: uncultured bacterium
Lineage: Bacteria
Description: bacterial SSU rRNA
Rfam family: Bacterial small subunit ribosomal RNA
Source: RNAcentral